AGUGAACGCUGGCGGUAGGCCUAACACAUGCAAGUCGAACGGCAGCACAGUAAGAGCUUGCUCUUACGGGUGGCGAGUGGCGGACGGGUGAGGAAUACAUCGGAAUCUACUUUUUCGUGGGGGAUAACGUAGGGAAACUUACGCUAAUACCUCAUACGACCUACGGGUGAAAGCAGGGGAUCUUCGUACCUUGCGCGAUUGAAUGAGCCGAUGUCGGAUUAGCUAGUUGGCGGGGUAAAGGCCCACCAAGGCGACGAUCCGUAGCUGGUCUGAGAGGAUGACCAGCCACACUGGAACUGAGACACGGUCCAGACUCCUACGGGAGGCAGCAGUGGGGAAUAUUGGACAAUGGGCGCAAGCCUGAUCCAGCCAUACCGCGUGGGUGAAGAAGGCCUUCGGGUUGUAAAGCCCUUUUGUUGGGAAAGAAAAGCAGCAGGUUAAUACCCCGCUGUUCUGACGGUACCCAAAGAAUAAGCACCGGCUAACUUCGUG
Molecule: ribosomal RNA, 492 nt
Filed under: uncultured bacterium
Lineage: Bacteria
Description: partial 16S ribosomal RNA
Rfam family: Bacterial small subunit ribosomal RNA
Source: RNAcentral